RNAcentral lists this long non-coding RNA (321 nucleotides) under Mus pahari (shrew mouse). RNAcentral describes it as "lncRNA (MGP_PahariEiJ_G0002669.1)". Lineage: Eukaryota; Metazoa; Chordata; Mammalia; Rodentia; Muridae. The record is from RNAcentral.
GUCUCCAAGACAGAAGAACAGCAAAAUAUGCCUGGGCGACCCUCGGAGAGCUAAGAGGAGCAGGCCCUGACCCGAAUCCGACCCCACGGGUCCCUUCCGAGAACCCUCACCAGGUGUACCAUAACCCUGAGAAUCCAACCUUGCGCACCCUGGACUUCAGAGAGCCACGGGUGAAUUCUGACCUGGCAGGUGCGAGUCCUGGUGGGUCUGAGUUCGCCAAGUGAACAAUACGUGACUCAGUGCGCCUCUUUCUCUUGCAAUGUCCACUGUCCUGGGGUCUCAUCAUUGCGUUCAGGUUUGCAGCCUUGAUUUUCUAGAAGG